This 468-nucleotide ribosomal RNA is filed under the name uncultured bacterium. Its description in RNAcentral is "partial 16S ribosomal RNA". It matches the Rfam family "Bacterial small subunit ribosomal RNA", at positions 28 to 507 of the family's 1533-position model. The record is from RNAcentral.
GACGAACGCUGGCGGCGUGCUUAACACAUGCAAGUCGAACGGACAGGCCCUGCUUUUGUGGGGUGCUCGAGUGGCGAACGGGUGAGUAACACGUGAGUAACCUGCCCUUGACUUUGGGAUAACUACAGGAAACUGGGGCUAAUACCGGAUAGGAGCUCCUGCUGCAUGGUGGGGGUUGGAAAGUUUCGGCGGUUGGGGAUGGACUCGCGGCGUAUCAGCUUGUUGGUGUGGUAGUGGCUUACCAAGGCUUUGACGGGUAGCCGGCCUGAGAGGGUGACCGGCCACAUUGGGACUGAGAUACGGCCCAGACUCCUACGGGAGGCAGCAGUGGGGAAUAGUGCACAAGGGGCGGAAGCCUGAUGCAGCAACGCCGCGUGCGGGAUGACGUCCUUCGGGUUGUAAACCGCUUUCGCCUGUGACGAAGCGUUAGUGACGGUAAUGGGUAAAGAAGCACCGGCUAACUACGUG